This 225-nucleotide ribosomal RNA is filed under the name uncultured Acinetobacter sp. RNAcentral's name for it is "partial 16S ribosomal RNA". It matches the Rfam family "Bacterial small subunit ribosomal RNA", at positions 568 to 792 of the family's 1533-position model. Lineage: Bacteria; Pseudomonadati; Pseudomonadota; Gammaproteobacteria; Moraxellales; Moraxellaceae. The record is from RNAcentral.
UGCGUAGGCGGCUUUUUAAGUCGGAUGUGAAAUCCCUGAGCUUAACUUAGGAAUUGCAUUCGAUACUGGGAAGCUAGAGUAUGGGAGAGGAUGGUAGAAUUCCAGGUGUAGCGGUGAAAUGCGUAGAGAUCUGGAGGAAUACCGAUGGCGAAGGCAGCCAUCUGGCCUAAUACUGACGCUGAGGUACGAAAGCAUGGUGAGCACACAUGAUUAGAUAUCCUCGUA